This 287-nucleotide unclassified non-coding RNA is filed under the name plant metagenome. RNAcentral's name for it is "partial contains small subunit ribosomal RNA and internal transcribed spacer 1". The stretch from base 1 to 46 matches the Rfam family "Eukaryotic small subunit ribosomal RNA", at positions 1786 to 1831 of the family's 1831-position model. The record is from RNAcentral.
AAGUCGUAACAAGGUUUCCGUAGGUGAACCUGCGGAAGGAUCAUUAGUGUAACCGAGCAACGCUGUAAGCUACUUACAGCGGGUCUGUUGCUAGUAUUAGGCUGUUGCUUGCAGCGGUUCUAGUGCUUUCAGCAGGCUGCGAGGGAGAUAUUAUACACCCCAUGUUUUUCUCACUUUUGUUGCUUUGGCGGGCCGUCCAUUUCGGCAUCGGCCCCGGCCGAUUGCGCCCGCCAGAGGACCCCAAACUCUUCCAUUAGUGAUGUCUGAGUACCAUAUAAUAGUUAAAA